This 431-nucleotide ribosomal RNA is filed under the name uncultured bacterium. Its description in RNAcentral is "partial 16S ribosomal RNA". It matches the Rfam family "Bacterial small subunit ribosomal RNA", at positions 30 to 507 of the family's 1533-position model. The record is from RNAcentral.
AACGAACGCUGGCGGCAGGCUUAACACAUGCAAGUCGAGCGCCCCGCAAGGGGAGCGGCAGACGGGUGAGUAACGCGUGGGAACGUACCCUUAUCUUCGGGAUAGCUCCGGGAAACUGGAAUUAAUACCGAAUGUGCCCUUUGGGGGAAAGAUUUAUCGGAUAAGGAUCGGCCCGCGUUGGAUUAGCUAGUUGGUGGGGUAAAGGCCUACCAAGGCGACGAUCCUUAGCUGGUCUGAGAGGAAGAUCAGCCACAUUGGGACUGAGAAACGGCCCAAACUCCUACGGGAGGCAGGAGUGGGGGAUAGUGGAAAGCCGCGGGAAGGAUGAAGGAGCCAGGACGGGAAAAUGAUGAAGGCAUGAGAGUAGAAAAGCUCUAUUAACGGAGAAGAUAAUGACGGUACCCGGAGAAGAAGCCACGGCUAACUUCGUG